CCUACGGGACGCAGCAGUGGGGGAUAUUGCACAAUGGGGGGAACCCUGAUGCAGCGACGCCGCGUGGGUGAAGGAGCGUUUCGGCGCGUAAAGCCCUAUCGGCAGGGAAGAAGAUGACGGUACCUGGCCAAGAAGCCCCGGCUAACUACGUGCCAGCAGCCGCGGUAAUACGUAGGGGGCAAGCGUUAUCCGGAUUUACUGGGGGUAAAGGGGGGGCAGACGGCAAUGCAAGCCGGGAGGGAAAGCCCGGGGGCUAACCCCGGGACUGCUC
Molecule: ribosomal RNA, 271 nt
Filed under: uncultured bacterium
Lineage: Bacteria
Description: partial 16S ribosomal RNA
Rfam family: Bacterial small subunit ribosomal RNA
Source: RNAcentral